RNAcentral lists this ribosomal RNA (492 nucleotides) under uncultured bacterium. RNAcentral describes it as "partial 16S ribosomal RNA". It matches the Rfam family "Bacterial small subunit ribosomal RNA", at positions 29 to 507 of the family's 1533-position model. The record is from RNAcentral.
AGUGAACGCUGGCGGUAGGCCUGACACAUGCAAGUCGAACGGCAGCACAGUAAGAGCUUGCUCUUACGGGUGGCGAGUGGCGGACGGGUGAGGAAUACAUCGGAAUCUACUUUUUCGUGGGGGAUAACGUAGGGAAACUUACGCUAAUACCGCAUACGACCUACGGGUGAAAGCAGGGGAUCUUCGGACCUUGCGCGAUUGAAUGAGCCGAUGUCGGAUUAGCUAGUUGGCGGGGUAAAGGCCCACCAAGGCGACGAUCCGUAGCUGGCCUGAGAGGAUGAGCAGCCACACUGGAACUGAGACACGGUCCAGACUCCUACGGGAGGCAGCAGUGGGGAAUAUUGGACAAUGGACGAAAGCCUGAUCCAGCCAUACCGCGUGGGUGAAGAAGGCCUUCGGGUUGUAAAGCCCUUUUGUUGGGAAAGAAAAGCAGCAGGUUAAUACCCCGCUGUUCUGACGGUACCCAAAGAAUAAGCACCGGCUAACUUCGUG